GAUGAACGCUAGCUACAGGCUUAACACAUGCAAGUCGCGGGGCAGCAUGGGGGUUGCUUGCCAUCCCCGAUGGCGACCGGCGCACGGGUGAGUAACGCGUAUUCAACCUGCCCUUCACCACGGGAUAACCCGGCGAAAGUCGGACUAAUACCGUAUGUUGUCCAUUGACGGCAUCCGAUUUGGACGAAAGGCUUGGCGGUGAGGGAUGGGGAUGCGUCCGAUUAGCCAGACGGCGGGGUAACGGCCCACCGUGGCUACGAUCGGUAGGGGUUCUGAGAGGAAGGUCCCCCACACUGGAACUGAGACACGGUCCAGACUCCUACGGGAGGCAGCAGUGAGGAAGAUUGGUCAAUGGGCGUAAGCCUGAACCAGCCAAGUAGCGUGCAGGAGGACGGCCCUAUGGGUUGUAAACUGCUUUUAUGCGGGGAUAAAGUGGCCCACGUGUGGGCUUUUGCAGGUACCGCAUGAAUAAGGACCGGCUAAUUCCGUG
RNAcentral lists this ribosomal RNA (490 nucleotides) under uncultured bacterium. RNAcentral's name for it is "partial 16S ribosomal RNA". It matches the Rfam family "Bacterial small subunit ribosomal RNA", at positions 28 to 507 of the family's 1533-position model. The record is from RNAcentral.